UGCUUCCGGGCGAUUUUUUAUUGGGCUCGGCUGUGUCAGGCUGCGGCGCGGGGAAUCUGUCCGUGGGGGAUCAAAUCCGAUGAGAUCGCUGGGCCUCGGCCUCGUCCGCCUGUUUCUUUGUGUGUGUCACAUCCGGAAUUCAGGGCCAUCGCUUUCCUGCUCGCGCUGGCUGCGGUCGGCGGAUCGGUCUUUUAUCAUUUCGCGGAAGGCUG
This 212-nucleotide unclassified non-coding RNA is filed under the name Hevea brasiliensis (rubber tree). Lineage: Eukaryota; Viridiplantae; Streptophyta; Magnoliopsida; Malpighiales; Euphorbiaceae. The record is from RNAcentral.